RNAcentral lists this ribosomal RNA (254 nucleotides) under uncultured bacterium. Its description in RNAcentral is "partial 16S ribosomal RNA". It matches the Rfam family "Bacterial small subunit ribosomal RNA", at positions 524 to 776 of the family's 1533-position model. The record is from RNAcentral.
UACGAAGGGGGGCGAGCGUUGUUCGGAUUUACUGGGCGUAAAGGGCGCGCAGGCGGCUAUCCAAGUCAGGCGUGAAAGCCCCGGGCUUAACCUGGGAGGUGCGUCUGGGACUGGGUGGCUAGAGAUCGGGAGAGGAGAGUGGAAUUCCCAGUGUAGAGGUGAAAUUCGUAGAUAUUGGGAAGAACACCGGUGGCGAAGGCGGCUCUCUGGACCGAUACUGACGCUGAGGCGCGAAAGCUAGGGGAGCAAACAGG